UCCUCACCUCACCGAACAAUUCUAACCUUCUUCAUGUUUAACCAAUAGUGCCGUAACAUCGUUCACUUCUCCCUUCUCAUUUUUCUUUCAUUUGUCAUUACGUUCCUACAUCGUGUCGUCGUACAUAUUUCUAGGUUAGAUCUACUUCACUUAAAGGUUAUAACUUUCUCUAGUUACGUAUAAUUCGUAAAUUUAAUAACGUUAUGUAUACAUUUUAAAUCUACGUUGUAUUUCUCCAGGGACGGAGGGAUGAAGGGAGAGAUAUUUAUAGGUCGAAAGGAUUGGCGAAGGGAAGCAGAUGGGGGAGGGAAAAAAAUUUUGGUAAAAUUUCGACGAAACCUAUUUUAAUACGUUACUGAGUCAUAAGAUACGACGUAUGUGUUGUAUGUCUCGUUAGGUUAAAUAGUCAUUUCGAAUGAUUGUGAUGAUGUUACUUAUGACGUUGCGGUUUUAUGAUAGGCGAUAGGUUAGACGAUUUUAUAUAUAUAUAUAUCCAUUUCCUUUUUUGUAAAUAAUUUUUCUACUUCAGAUUAUAUGUUAAUAACUGUAACAUAAUUGUAUGUUAAAUACUUGAUUUAAAUACAUAUAUUAUAAUUAUUAUCUAACAAUCUUGUUUUGCGUUUUAUUGUAAAAAA
This is a long non-coding RNA of Vespa mandarinia (Asian giant hornet), 635 nucleotides long. RefSeq lists it as uncharacterized. NCBI's taxonomy places the organism in Eukaryota, Metazoa, Arthropoda, Insecta, Hymenoptera, Vespidae. The record is from RefSeq and is a predicted model, not a curated record.